GGGGUCUUCCGCAGCGAGAGCUGGCGAAUCCUGCACCCCUAGGGAGCAGACCGUGCGGACCCAGUCCGGCAGGCCGGGUGAGCCCCAUCCCGGGAACUGCGGAGGCCGAGAGGGUGCUGUGCGUGGAGACCUGGCCUAGAGAGACCGAGCGUCCGGAAAUCGGAAGCCCACCCGCUGGUGGAGGCUCCAGGCUCGGCAUCUAUGCUUCGAUACAAACCUUAGGUUCCCUAGUAACUGACUACAGGCAUGGGCCACUAAAUCAGGACCACCUCAUCUGUUUAAUGAAGACCACGUAACACUCACUAUGGGCAGAACUUUAGAGCUACAUGUGGCGAUUGAACAUUUGACUAUGUGUAUAACAGCUGUUGGAGUGUUGGGUCCCACACAAAGGAAGAACUGAAGGAUGCGGACUUAAAGAUUGAAAGGGCAAAGCCUAAUACAGUGA
Molecule: long non-coding RNA, 445 nt
Organism: Apodemus sylvaticus (European woodmouse)
Lineage: Eukaryota; Metazoa; Chordata; Mammalia; Rodentia; Muridae
Exons: 3
Source: RefSeq, a predicted model, not a curated record